UGAGGAAUCUUGGACAAUGGGGGAAACCCUGAUCCAGCGACGCCGCGUGAAGGAUGAAGGUCUUCGGAUUGUAAACUUCUUUUCUUUGGGAAUAAGAAACCGGUAGAAAUAUCGGGAGUGAAUGUACCAGAGGAAUAAGCCACGGCUAACUUCGUGCCAGCAGCCGCGGUAAUACGAAGGUGGCAAGCGUUACUCGGAAUUACUAGGCGUAAAGGGCAGGUAGGCGGUUUGGUAAGUCUGUUGUGUCAGCUCCCGGCUUAACUGGGAGAGGUCAACGGAUACUGUCGAACUAGAGUGUGGGAGAGGGUACUGGAAUUCCUGGUGUAGCGGUGAAAUGCGCAGAUAUCAGGAGGAACACCAAUGGCGAAAGCAAGUACCUGGACCACUACUGACGCUCAGCUGCGAAAGCUAGGGGAGCAAACAGG
Molecule: ribosomal RNA, 425 nt
Filed under: uncultured bacterium
Lineage: Bacteria
Description: bacterial SSU rRNA
Rfam family: Bacterial small subunit ribosomal RNA
Source: RNAcentral